GAGUUUGAUCAUGGCUCAGAUUGAACGCUGGCGGCAUGCCUUACACAUGCAAGUCGAACGGCAGCACGGGAGCUUGCUCCUGGUGGCGAGUGGCGAACGGGUGAGUAGUGCAUCGGAACGUAUCCUGGAGUGGGGGAUAACGUAGCGAAAGUUACGCUAAUACCGCAUAUUCUGUGAGCAGGAAAGCGGGGGACCUUCGGGCCUCGCGCUCUUGGAGCGGCCGAUGUCGGAUUAGCUAGUUGGUGAGGUAAAGGCUCACCAAGGCGACGAUCCGUAGCAGGUCUGAGAGGAUGAUCUGCCACACUGGAACUGAGACACGGUCCAGACUCCUACGGGAGGCAGCAGUGGGGAAUUUUGGACAAUGGGGGCAACCCUGAUCCAGCCAUGCCGCGUGAGUGAAGAAGGCC
RNAcentral lists this ribosomal RNA (407 nucleotides) under bacterium enrichment culture clone ALO1_GLFRUDD03FUELV. RNAcentral's name for it is "bacterial SSU rRNA". It matches the Rfam family "Bacterial small subunit ribosomal RNA", at positions 9 to 416 of the family's 1533-position model. The record is from RNAcentral.